UAAUACGUAGGGUGCAAGCGUUAAUCGGAAUUACUGGGCGUAAAGCGUGCGCAGGCGGUUUUGUAAGACGGAUGUGAAAUCCCCGGGCUUAACCUGGGAACUGCAUUCGUGACUGCAAGGCUAGAGUAUGGCAGAGGGGGGUAGAAUUCCACGUGUAGCAGUGAAAUGCGUAGAGAUGUGGAGGAAUACCGAUGGCGAAGGCAGCCCCCUGGGCCAAUACUGACGCUCAUGCACGAAAGCGUGGGGAGCAAACAGGAUUAGAUACCCUGGUAGUCCACGCCCUAAACGAUGUCAACUAGUUGUUGGGGAUUCAUUUCCUUAGUAACGUAGCUAACGCGUGAAGUUGACCGCCUGGGGAGUACGGUCGCAAGAUUAAAACUCAAAGGAAUUGACGG
RNAcentral lists this ribosomal RNA (395 nucleotides) under uncultured bacterium. RNAcentral's name for it is "bacterial SSU rRNA". It matches the Rfam family "Bacterial small subunit ribosomal RNA", at positions 521 to 916 of the family's 1533-position model. The record is from RNAcentral.